CGGAAUCGCUCCUGCUCGCCCCUCUGACUGACUCCUCCGGCUCACCGUCUUCCCUUUGGGAGGAAGAGGCGGGACAUCCUGUUUCUCCGUCGAAGGACUUCCGGUGGCUUCCAAGGCGACUCCGUAGUGGAUGCAGCGCCGGACGCCACAGCCGAAAAACAGAAUCUUGGAACUGGUUUAGUACAAUCCAGGUCGAGUUCCUUGUUUUUUAUCCGAGUGGCCGGCAGGCCCAUGUGCUGUCUUGUUUUUAACACAUCAGCUCUUGCCGGAAGCCGCUAAGAGAUAAAAUAGGAAGUCCCACCCUUCCCUUAGAGAAGGAAAACGGAGAGCCGAAGGAGUCAAUCUAAAUUCGAUGAGCGCGUCGGGCUCCAAGGCAGGCGCUGUCAGCCCGGGAGGGCUGUCUGGGAUUUCUAGAGGGUCCCAGAACGGGUUCUUCCCAGGCCGAUCCCGCCUGCUUCCUGCCCCGUCUCUCCACCCGCCUCCCGCCCUCUGUAAGGGACCCCGAGGGCGGCGCCGGAAACACGGAGAAGGCCCAGAACGGCGCGGGACCCGAGAGGCCUACGUUGGCAAACGCAGCCCGCUGCCCCUUUGCUCGCUUCCCCCGGGCCUGGAGUGGCUCCUGUCGCUUCUGGCGCUCCGAUUUCGAGAAAUGACUUUCAGCUGUGCAAGGCGAGAAUGCUACUUUAGAUGAUGAGAAAAAAUCUCUCGAAUGGCUCCCAAAAUGAGGUCCUUGUUUAAGAGGCCACAGGAAGCCGCUAGCCGAACUCUGAUACCAAAGAGGAGGCCAAGAAGCGGACUGUGGCUUGGUGACCUGUUUGGUAUUGCCAAAUUUUCAGCUUUUAUUAAAGCUGAAACACCUUGGCUGUUUAAAACGUUCGACAAGGACUUUUUUAUGAACGUUAACGGCACAGCAUACGGGUUUUUUGGAAAAAAAAAAAGGCAGGACUUCAGCCCGUCCGCCCCCUUGUGCAGGUCCAUUCAUGAACCUCGAGUUAGAGGCCUUUCUUCUGAAACUCAGAAUCUAGUAGGGAAGACCUGUGUAGACGAAUAAAAAUAAAUACAUCACAGCUUGUUAAGUGCUGUGACAAAGAGGCAGUGAAAUCCUGCUUGAGGUCAUCUGCCUUGCUAAAGAGGUUUGACUAUGUUGUAGGCACAGGGUUAGGGUUAGACUCUGUAAUGGGAAGUUAUGUGAUCAGAUUUCUGUUUAGGAAGAUCACUGGCCAGGCGGGGUGGCUUACGCCUGUAAUCCCAAUACUUUGGGAGGCCGAGUCGGUGGAUUGCUUGAGGCUAGGAUUUUGAGACCAGCCUGGGGAAACCGCGUCUCUACUAAAAAUUUGAAAUUAGCCAGGCAUGGUGGUGCGAGCCUGUAAUUCCAGCUACUUGGAGGCUGAGGCGGGAGAAUAGCUUGAACCCAGUGGCGGAGGCUGCAGUGAGCCGAGAUUGCGCCACUGCACUCCAGCCUGGGCGACAGAGCGAGAUUCCGUCUCAAAAAAAUCAUUGUAAGUAAUUGGAUUUUUGUGUGUGUGUGAUGUUCUGAAGAUAGGCUUUCUAGGCCAAAUCGUCACUCAAGGCCAAUUCGAACACAAUUCAGUUUAAAUCAGAAUACAUUCGAGUGAUAAUUCCUUACCUUUUUAAAUAGUUCAUAGAAAACUUUUUGUAGACAUUAUCUGGUUUAAUUCUGAUUGUAAUCCACAUGAAUUCUCUUAUCCACAGUAAGGAACAGUAAUUUAGAAGACUAAUAAACUGUUCCAAGAUCACACAGCUAGUAAAAGUGGAACUCAACCUAAAACUCCAGAGUCAAGCUUUUCCAUCAUGUAGACUCAGUUUAAUAGUAAUAGUUAAUUAAAAAUUCUAGAGAAAAAUGUGGGAAACAAUUUCCUCACAAGUGACCAGCUGCAAAUGUUAUUUGUAUUCCAUUAACCAACAUUUAUUGGGUGCCUGUUAUAUAAAAGAUAAAACUGGGUUCUGCCUUCAAAGAGUUCACUUGAAAUUUAAAAUUUAUGUGAAAAUUUAGCACUUCCUACAGUGUUUUAAUAGCUAUUUCAACAGUGUUGGUGUUGUAUGACAAGGUGAUAAAUUUCUUGACAAUAACAAUAGCACAAUUCUGUAUAUGGAUUGGGCAUUCUGUGAUCUUUGGGUGAUUUAUCUUGCUACCUUUCUUACCUUGGGGGUUUAGUUAACACUUAUGUUCCUCCCCUGAGCAGUGAAGUAAAAUCUAAGUUUAUGUUUCAGUUCUAUUUUGAGUAUUUUGAGUUACUAAGACAGGACCUUAAGGAAGUCAGUUUGACCUCAUUUCCAACUGAGAGAGUCCAUAGAUGUCAUUCAAGACUAAUUUUCUGAUUCUAAGGAAAAAGGGAAGUCUUUUUUUUUCUUCCUCUCUUUAUUUUUGAAUGAAUAAUGCUUGACAUGGACAACACAGACUUUUAGUGAAGACAGAGAGUCCUAGUGAUGAAACCACCUUUGCAAAAAUUACAACUGAGAAAAUUAUGACAGUGAAAGAGAUCUGACCUAACCAAUUCCAUCUUGCUUCUAAACUCUGUCCUUGUUCAUUCCUGGGCAUAGGCAGAACUAACUCUGGAAGGAACUUAGUUUAUAGUGUAACUUUGAAACAAAGAUGAUAACAGCUCAUUCUGAAAACAAACCCCUUUCUGGCCUGGGGACCAGACUGCCUUUUUAGGGCUAGCAAAUUAGCCACAAGAUUAGAAAUUACAGUUUAGGAAUAAUGCAGCUAGAGGCCACAAGAUUCUAAACCUCCCCAAUUGUUCCUAAGGAUAAUAUCACUAUUGUAAAACCCAAGAUUGGUGCUUAAGAUGUUUUUCAGACCCCGCACUCAUGGAUCAGCUGGCAUCACUCAGAUGGAUAAACUGGCUCAUCUAGUCCUGUAGCCCCCACCCAAGAACUGACUCAGUGCAAGAGGACAGUUUCAACUCCCUAUGAUUUCAUGUCACACCAGAGCCAUCAAUUCUCCCCGCUCCCUGGUCUCCUACUCCCCCAAAUUAUCCUUUAAAAAUCCCAGUCUCUGAAUUUUCAGGA
Molecule: long non-coding RNA, 3033 nt
Filed under: Homo sapiens (human)
Lineage: Eukaryota; Metazoa; Chordata; Mammalia; Primates; Hominidae
Description: non-protein coding LINC00909:2
Source: RNAcentral